GAUUUGAAUAUUUAAAUUUAGAACCUUGGCUGCAAUGAAGAUGAAAUUUUUUCUACUCUUGAACUUGACGUAUAUGUAGCUUGGUUUGUUUUCUUUUGAAUAAAAUUACAUCGCAUUGCAGUUACAAA
Amphibalanus amphitrite is the source of this 128-nucleotide long non-coding RNA. RefSeq lists it as uncharacterized. The transcript has 2 exons. Lineage: Eukaryota; Metazoa; Arthropoda; Thecostraca; Balanomorpha; Balanidae. The record is from RefSeq and is a predicted model, not a curated record.